UCUCUUGGUUCUCGCAUCGAUGAAGAACGCAGCGAAUUGCGAUAAGUAAUGUGAAUUGCAGAUUUUCGUGAAUCAUCGAAUCUUUGAACGCAUAUUGCGCUCUAUGGUAUUCCGUAGAGCAUGCCUGUUUGAGCGUCAUUUCUCUC
This 146-nucleotide ribosomal RNA is filed under the name Saccharomycopsis fodiens. Its description in RNAcentral is "5.8S ribosomal RNA". It matches the Rfam family "5.8S ribosomal RNA", at positions 17 to 154 of the family's 154-position model. From Rfam's summary of the family: 5.8S ribosomal RNA (5.8S rRNA) is a component of the large subunit of the eukaryotic ribosome. It is transcribed by RNA polymerase I as part of the 45S precursor that also contains 18S and 28S rRNA. Functionally, it is thought that 5.8S rRNA may be involved in ribosome translocation. Lineage: Eukaryota; Fungi; Ascomycota; Saccharomycetes; Ascoideales; Saccharomycopsidaceae. The record is from RNAcentral.